GUUCUACUAUCGAGCCGGCCACAUUUUUCUAAACCUAGUUUAGUGAGGUAAAAUUUUACAUUAGAUGGAUUUUAGUUUGUCUAUGCUCGGGACUAAGACUUGAUACCCUCCCAUUUAAUUGUGAAUGUGUAUCUAUAACUAACUAAAUCCUGUAUUGGGGUAGAGAGGGUAUGGGAGAAAGAGAGUGAACAAAAAGGAGAGAAUUGGUGUCGUACUUCCUCCGAUCCUGACUCACGUCCGGACACUGAUCCUAGUUAUCGUCCUCUGUUGCAGUGUAGCACCUACAUUAAUUAUGUUUAAACUGGUUUCCUAAAUAACAACAAACCGUCUGCCCCUGAACAAGUAGAAACAACAUCGUGCCACGGAACAAGGUCUAUAACAUAUACAGAAAAAUACAUAGGAAACAAACAAGACUUAAACCGACGAAAGUACGUCUAGUUCAACAGUACCUCCUGUUUUUCUCCCCACGUAACGUUAGAUAUAAAAAGUGAUGAUUUACACACUGUGUUAGACAACUCUUUGUGUAAAUCCAUACGCAUCAUAUGAAGUCAUAUACGAGUAAAGUAGACCUCCAUGUUAGAGUUGAAGAACUUCGUUGUAUGUCAUGGCCUCCCACAUUGAAAACCUGUAAAUGCAGUUUUGGAACCUCUACUACCUACGAGCCACUGAUCGAGACGUACGGAAGAUACCCCAAGUUUUAAUGAAAUACUACAAGUAGGACGAUCCGACGUCCCAGUAUCACGAAGGUCAUAAAAAUUAAAACUUAGUAUAUCAGUUAGUUAGUCAGUACCUAGUCUACCAAAUUAUUCAAAAAAACGUAAAGUAUACCAUCACUAGCUGUCUCCGAGAAAACCAGGUUAGUCACUCUCUAGUUUAUCGAACUCGAACGGUAUGUGUUUCGUUAUACUAUGUGCGAAGGUUGAUGUCACGUCUGCGAGGUUUUUAGUCCGAUGUACGGUCGACGUUUGUUUAUAUUAUUUCAACAAACCCACCUAGACAACACCACGACGAAUCCACCUAGAUUAGUUCUGUUGAUAACUAGCAGAAGGUAAAGUUGUCGUCGUUACACCCCACAGUGUACACCUCAUCCUCCACAUUCUCUUCUACCUCUUCCACUAAUAAGAGCGUAAUGUAACUCACAACUCACACCCCAUAUACCUUUAUAAACUUAACUUCUGCUAGGCCAUGGACUCUAUUUACUAGCUCCUCUGCGUACUGAACUUAUUUUUAUAAACACUCUUAUACUUUACUCCUUUAAUGAUAAAGACUGGCUCAGAAUUAGACUUCUGCUGUAAAGAUACUACGAACGUAAGUGCUUAACUUCUUUGGGGACAGAUACUACGAACGAAAGUGCUUAACUUCUUUGAGGACAGCUUAUGGAAACAACCAACGUUAAUAGCAAGUUUAUAGUAGUAAACUUUUCAUCGUUGCGUACAAGAUAAGAAUCUUUUUUGUAUGAGGGAGGUAGGUAUAUAUGUCCCGGAUUACACAAAAAGCUCAGACGAAACUGAUAACUAUUCCAAUUAUCA
RNAcentral lists this ribosomal RNA (1529 nucleotides) under Triticum aestivum (bread wheat). RNAcentral describes it as "partial small subunit ribosomal RNA". Lineage: Eukaryota; Viridiplantae; Streptophyta; Magnoliopsida; Poales; Poaceae. The record is from RNAcentral.